AUGCAGUUGCACUUUGAGAACAUCUUGGACCCGGAGGGGGCUGUUGUGCUGCGGAUGUUGCUUUCUUCUGGGAGCAUUGGAUAUCAGUUGAGACUUUGUCGCAUGAUAAUGAUGCCUAUCUCAAUGAUGAGAGACUGGUGCUUGUACGUGUUUGACAUGCAUAUGAAGAAACUGAAUGUCCUCGACCCAGUUUUCACGCAGAUGGGUUCGGAUGCGUAUAGAGCUAAGCACGGGAAGACAAUCAUGUUGAUGCUUAAUGGUAUGAAGUGCGCAGGUGCGCUGUUAGACAAUGGAUGGCAGAUGGACAUAUCACAGUGGACCGUGAGGUACAACAUGAACAUGCAUGUUGCAUGUGGAAGUGGUUAG
This 366-nucleotide ribosomal RNA is filed under the name Triticum aestivum (bread wheat). RNAcentral describes it as "partial small subunit ribosomal RNA". Lineage: Eukaryota; Viridiplantae; Streptophyta; Magnoliopsida; Poales; Poaceae. The record is from RNAcentral.